RNAcentral lists this ribosomal RNA (588 nucleotides) under Triticum aestivum (bread wheat). Its description in RNAcentral is "partial small subunit ribosomal RNA". The record is from RNAcentral. Lineage: Eukaryota; Viridiplantae; Streptophyta; Magnoliopsida; Poales; Poaceae.
AUGUCUGUGUCGUCGGCGCUGUCGUCGUUCCUGUACGGCUGCUUCAACCCGGCGGGCGGGCGGUACCACCACCACCGCGCGGGGGCCUACUACCACAGCAGCCACCCCACGAGCGCUGACACCCUGUACUACAACCAGGGCGGGUUCGCCGGCGGCCGCAGGAUGGGCCGGAGCAGCCGGCCGCUGUCCCUGCAGACGGUGGAGCUGAAGGUGCGGAUGUGCUGCUCGGGGUGCGCGCGGGUGGUGAAGCACGCGCUGACGAAGCUGCGCGGGGUGGACAGCGUGGAGGUGGAGGUGGAGAUGGAGAAGGUGACGGUGACCGGGUACGUGGAGCGGCACCGGGUGCUCAAGGAGGUGCGGCGCGCCGGGAAGAAGGCCGAGUUCUGGCCCAACCCGGACCAGCCGCUGCACUUCACCACCGCCAAGGACUACUUCCACGACCAGGAGUCGUUCCGCCCCAGCUACAACUACUACCGCCACGGCUACAACGGCGACAAGCACGGCCACCUCCCCGAGCCCCACCGCGGCUCCGACCCCGUCAGCAACAUGUUCAACGACGACGACGUCAACGCCUGCUCCAUCAUGUAA